Molecule: ribosomal RNA, 1414 nt
Filed under: uncultured fungus
Lineage: Eukaryota; Fungi
Description: eukaryotic LSU rRNA
Rfam family: Eukaryotic large subunit ribosomal RNA (bases 783-1414)
Source: RNAcentral
AAGUCGUAACAAGGUUUCCGUAGUGAUCCUUCGAAGCCUUUUCACACAACGACUCUAACAAAAUCGUGUGCAGUCCCUUCCAUUAUGAUUUGGGGCUACGUCACUAAAGUGCUGGGAUACAAAGUUCUGUAAAUCAGCAGCCAAGCAGAAAGAAAACUUCAAUGUUUGGUUCACAGAUUAGCUGAGUGACGGUCAGUGAGAGAUCAACAAAGAAUCAUCACUGAUGAAGAUAUAAUCGGUCUCUAUUUUAUCCAUAGCGAUGGCACGUUCCGUAGGUGAACCUGCGGAAGGAUCAUUAUCGAGUUAGGGUUCUCUGGGCCCCAUCUCCAACCCUUGUCUAUCCACCACGUUGCUUUGGCGGGCCCGUUCCCUCGCGGGACCGCCAGGGAGGGAUCUCCCUGGCCGCGCCCGCCAAUAGCCCCCACAAAUCCUUCUAUCGGUGUUGUCUAAGUCCCUCAGAAUAAACAAAACUUUCAACAACGGAUCUCUUGGUUCUGGCAUCGAUGAAGAACGCAGCGAAAUGCGAUAAGUAAUGCGAAUUGCAGAAUUCCGUGAGUCAUCGAAUCUUUGAACGCACAUUGCGCCCUUUGGUAUUCCGAAGGGCAUGCCUGUCCGAGCGUCAUGAUCAACCCUCAAGCCCGGCUUGCCGUUGGGUCCCACCGCUGCGAGACGCGGUGGACCCGAAAGACAAUGGCCGAGUCCGCGGGGCCCCGGAUACAGCGAGCUUUCAGCACGUGUCCAGGCGCCUCCCGGCUCCGUCUUGACCAAACAAUUUAUCAGGUUGACCUCGGAUCAGGUAGGAAUACCCGCUGAACUUAAGCAUAUCAAUAAGCGGAGGAAAAGGAACCAACAGGGAUUGCCUCAGUAACGGCGAGUGAAGCGGCAACAGCUCAAAUUUGAAAUCUGGCCCCUCUCGGGGUCCGAGUUGUAAUUUGUAGAGGACGCUUCGGGCAAGGCCGCGGUCUAAUUCGCUUGGAACAGCGAGUCACAGAGGGUGAGAAUCCCGUCUAGGACCGUGUGCCGCGCCCGUGUGAAGCUCCUUCGACGAGUCGAGUUGUUUGGGAAUGCAGCUCUAAAUGGGUGGUAAAUUUCAUCUAAAGCUAAAUAUGGGCCAGAGACCGAUAGCGCACAAGUAGAGUGAUCGAAAGAUGAAAAGCACUUUGAAAAGAGAGUUAAACAGUAUGUGAAAUUGUUGAAAGGGAAGCGCUUGCGACCAGACUUGCGUGUGACGGUUCCCCCGGUCUUCUGACCGGGUCACUCCGUCACUCCAGGCCAGCAUCGGUCCGGGUGGGCGGUGAAAGACCCCGGGAAUGUAUCUACCUCCGGGUCGACUUAUAGCCCGGGGUGCAAUGCGCCCUACCUGGACCGAGGAACGCGCUCCGGCUCGGAUGCUGGCGUAAUGGUCGCAAGCGGC